UCUUCGUACGGGACGCAGCAGUGGGGAAUAUUGCACAAUGGGGGAAACCCUGAUGCAGCAACGCCGCGUGAGUGAAGAAGUAUUUCGGUAUGUAAAGCUCUAUCAGCAGGGAAGAAGAUGACGGUACCUGACCAAGAAGCCCCGGCUAACUACGUGCCAGCAGCCGCGGUAAUACGUAGGGGGCAAGCGUUAUCCGGAUUUACUGGGUGUAAAGGGAGCGCAGACGGCAGCGCAAGUCUGGAGUGAGAGCCCGGGGCCCAACCCCGGAACUGCUCUGGAAACUGUGCGUCUAGAGUACUGGAGGG
Molecule: ribosomal RNA, 305 nt
Filed under: uncultured bacterium
Lineage: Bacteria
Description: bacterial SSU rRNA
Rfam family: Bacterial small subunit ribosomal RNA
Source: RNAcentral